UAGGGAAUCUUCGGCAAUGGGGGGAACCCUGACCGAGCAACGCCGCGUGAGUGAAGAAGGUUUUCGGAUCGUAAAGCUCUGUUGUUAAGGAAGAACGAGUGUGAGAAUGGAAAGUUCAUACUGUGACGGUACUUAACCAGAAAGGGACGGCUAACUACGUGCCAGCAGCCGCGGUAAUACGUAGGUCCCGAGCGUUGUCCGGAUUUAUUGGGCGUAAAGCGAGCGCAGGCGGUUAGAUAAGUCUGAAGUUAAAGGCAGUGGCUCAACCAUUGUAGGCUUUGGAAACUGUUUAACUUGAGUGCAGAAGGGGGGAGUGGAAUUCCAUGUGUAGCGGUGAAAUGCGUAGAUAUAUGGAGGAACACCGGUGGCGAAAGCGGCUCUCUGGUCUGUAACUGACGCUGAGGCUCGGAAGCGUGGGGAGCGAACAGG
This 429-nucleotide ribosomal RNA is filed under the name Bacteroidota bacterium. RNAcentral describes it as "Bacteroidetes bacterium partial 16S ribosomal RNA". It matches the Rfam family "Bacterial small subunit ribosomal RNA", at positions 355 to 776 of the family's 1533-position model. The record is from RNAcentral. Lineage: Bacteria; Pseudomonadati; Bacteroidota.